GAUGAACGGCUAGCGGCAGGCCUAAUACAUGCAAGUCGAAACGAGAUUCUUUUCUUCGGAAGAGAUGACAGUGGCGCACGGGUGCGUAACGCGUAUGCAACCUACCUUUUACUGGGGGAUAGCCCGGAGAAAUUCGGAUUAAUACCCCAUGGUAUUCCAAGAUGGCAUCUGAAAGGAAUUAAAGAUUUAUUGGUAAAAGAUGGGCAUGCGUGACAUUAGCUAGUUGGUAAGGUAACGGCUUACCAAGGCAACGAUGUCUAGGGGUUCUGAGAGGAUGAUCCCCCACACUGGUACUGAGAUACGGACCAGACUCCUACGGGAGGCAGCAGUAGGGAAUAUUGGUCAAUGGGCGAGAGCCUGAACCAGCCAUGCCGCGUGCAGGAAGACGGCUUUCUGAGUUGUAAACUGCUUUUAUAUGGGAAGAAAAAGGCCAUGCGUGGCAAAUUGCCGGUACCAUAUGAAUAAGCACCGGCUAACUCCGUGCCAGCAGCCGCGGUAAUACGGAGGGUGCAAGCGUUGUCCGGAUUUAUUGGGUUUAAAGGGUGCGUAGGCGGAUCUUUAAGUCAGUGGUGAAAUCCUGCAGCUUAACUGUAGAACUGCCAUUGAUACUGGAGGUCUUGAGUAUACUAGAGGUAGGCGGAAUUUAUGGUGUAGCGGUGAAAUGCAUAGAUACCAUAAAGAACACCAAUAGCGUAGGCAGCUUACUGGAGUAUAACUGACGCUGA
RNAcentral lists this ribosomal RNA (725 nucleotides) under Cytophagia bacterium IMCC15152. RNAcentral's name for it is "bacterial SSU rRNA". It matches the Rfam family "Bacterial small subunit ribosomal RNA", at positions 28 to 749 of the family's 1533-position model. Lineage: Bacteria; Pseudomonadati; Bacteroidota; Cytophagia. The record is from RNAcentral.